AUUGAACGCUGGCGGCAUGCCUUACACAUGCAAGUCGAACGGCAGCACGGGUGCUUGCACCUGGUGGCGAGUGGCGAACGGGUGAGUAAUACAUCGGAACAUGUCCUGUAGUGGGGGAUAGCCCGGCGAAAGCCGGAUUAAUACCGCAUACGAUCUACGGAUGAAAGCGGGGGACCUUCGGGCCUCGCGCUAUAGGGUUGGCCGAUGGCUGAUUAGCUAGUUGGUGGGGUAAAGGCCUACCAAGGCGACGAUCAGUAGCUGGUCUGAGAGGACGACCAGCCACACUGGGACUGAGACACGGCCCAGACUCCUACGGGAGGCAGCAGUGGGGAAUUUUGGACAAGGGGCGAAAGCCUGAUCCAGCAAUGCCGCGGGUGUGAAGAAGGCCUUCGGGUUGUAAAGCACUUUUGUCCGGAAAGAAAUCCUUGGCCCUAAUACGGUCGGGGGAUGACGGUACCGGAAGAAUAAGCACCGGCUAACUACGUG
Molecule: ribosomal RNA, 486 nt
Filed under: uncultured bacterium
Lineage: Bacteria
Description: partial 16S ribosomal RNA
Rfam family: Bacterial small subunit ribosomal RNA
Source: RNAcentral